Molecule: ribosomal RNA, 474 nt
Filed under: uncultured Acidovorax sp.
Lineage: Bacteria; Pseudomonadati; Pseudomonadota; Betaproteobacteria; Burkholderiales; Comamonadaceae
Description: bacterial SSU rRNA
Rfam family: Bacterial small subunit ribosomal RNA
Source: RNAcentral
AGAAUUGACGGGACCCGCACAAGCGGUGGAUGAUGUGGUUUAAUUCGAUGCAACGCGAAAACCUUACCCACCUUUGACAUGUACGGAAUCCUUUAGAGAUAGAGGAGUGCUCGAAAGAGAGCCGUAACACAGGUGCUGCAUGGCUGUCGUCAGCUCGUGUCGUGAGAUGUUGGGUUAAGUCCCGCAACGAGCGCAACCCUUGUCAUUAGUUGCUACAUUCAGUUGGGCACUCUAAUGAGACUGCCGGUGACAAACCGGAGGAAGGUGGGGAUGACGUCAAGUCCUCAUGGCCCUUAUAGGUGGGGCUACACACGUCAUACAAUGGUCGGUACAGAGGGUUGCCAACCCGCGAGGGGGAGCUAAUCCCACAAAGCCGAUCGUAGUCCGGAUCGCAGUCUGCAACUCGACUGCGUGAAGUCGGAAUCGCUAGUAAUCGUGGAUCAGCAUGUCACGGUGAAUACGUUCCCGGGUCUU